RNAcentral lists this ribosomal RNA (453 nucleotides) under uncultured Spirulina sp. RNAcentral describes it as "bacterial SSU rRNA". It matches the Rfam family "Bacterial small subunit ribosomal RNA", at positions 8 to 507 of the family's 1533-position model. Lineage: Bacteria; Bacillati; Cyanobacteriota; Cyanophyceae; Spirulinales; Spirulinaceae. The record is from RNAcentral.
AGGCUUUGAUCCUGGCUCAGGAUGAACGCUGGCGGCGUGCUUAACACAUGCAAGUCGAACGAAGUCUUCGGACUUAGUGGCGGACGGGUGAGUAACGCGUGAGGAUCUGCCCUUAGGUUGGGGACAACCACUGGAAACGGUGGCUAAUACCCAAUGUGCCGAGAGGUGAAAGGUUAACUGCCUGAGGAUGAACUCGCGUCUGAUUAGCUAGUUGGUGGGGUAAGGGCUCACCAAGGCGACGAUCAGUAGCUGGUCUGAGAGGAUGAUCAGCCACACUGGGACUGAGACACGGCCCAGACUCCUACGGGAGGCAGCAGUGGGGAAUUUUCCGCAAUGGGCGAAAGCCUGACGGAGCAACGCCGCGUGAGGGAGGAAGGCCCUAGGGUGUAAACCUCUUUUCUCUGGGAAGAAGAUCUGACGGUACCAUGAGGAAUAGCAUCGGCGUAACAUCCG